RNAcentral lists this long non-coding RNA (384 nucleotides) under Mytilus galloprovincialis (Mediterranean mussel). Lineage: Eukaryota; Metazoa; Mollusca; Bivalvia; Mytilida; Mytilidae. The record is from RNAcentral.
UGUACUUAGGUGAGGUUUUAGAAUUUGUGCCAAAUGUUCGGACUCCUUGGUGUUUUUCCAUACAACACAAUGUAAAAUAGUUUGCCCCAUAACACCCAUUUAUUUUUUCAUAUAAGAUUUAAUACCUCAUGAAAGGACAUUUACCAAAAUUUUAGAAGAUUCUUAAUUUUUUUCUUUUGUUUUGAGACCCGAUAAUACCAAUGCAAAUAUAAGGUAAAAGUCCGAGUCAGUCUUUUCCCUCCAUAUUUUAAAUCUCAAAUAUCUCGAAAAGGAGGUCCAUGACCUAUAAAUAGUUUUAGCUUAUAUUUAUCCUUAAUUGAUGCUCUACCAGCUUAUGGUAUCAAUUUUAACUUCUUAAUUUAUUAAUUUUCACCUAACCUCACC